AGGGAAUCUUCGGCAAUGGGGGCAACCCUGACCGAGCAACGCCGCGUGAGUGAAGAAGGUUUUCGGAUCGUAAAGCUCUGUUGUAAGAGAAGAACGAGUGUGAGAGUGGAAAGUUCACGCUGUGACGGUAUCUUACCAGAAAGGGACGGCUAACUACGUGCCAGCAGCCGCGGUAAUACGUAGGUCCCGAGCGUUAUCCGGAUUUAUUGGGCGUAAAGCGAGCGCAGGCGGUUAGAUAAGUCUGAAGUUAAAGGCUGUGGCUUAACCAUAGUACGCUUUGGAAACUGUUUAACUUGAGUGCAAGAGGGGAGAGUGGAAUUCCAUGUGUAGCGGUGAAAUGCGUAGAUAUAUGGAGGAACACCGGUGGCGAAAGCGGCUCUCUGGCUUGUAACUGACGCUGAGGCUCGAAAGCGUGGGGAGCAAACAGGAUUAGAUACCCUGGUAGUCCACGCCGUAAACGAUGAGUGCUAGGUGUUAGACCCUUUCCGGGGUUUAGUGCCGUAGCUAACGCAUUAAGCACUCCGCCUGGGGAGUACGACCGCAAGGUUG
This 549-nucleotide ribosomal RNA is filed under the name uncultured bacterium. Its description in RNAcentral is "bacterial SSU rRNA". It matches the Rfam family "Bacterial small subunit ribosomal RNA", at positions 356 to 896 of the family's 1533-position model. The record is from RNAcentral.